RNAcentral lists this long non-coding RNA (261 nucleotides) under Eucalyptus grandis. Its description in RNAcentral is "long non-coding RNA (EGRA_LNC004300)". The record is from RNAcentral. Lineage: Eukaryota; Viridiplantae; Streptophyta; Magnoliopsida; Myrtales; Myrtaceae.
CAAAUGACAUCAAAAUUUUACAAAUCUCGCAUCAAUGGAAAGCAUACGACAUGCAGUUCAUUCUUCAUGAAAGCCUUAAGAUUGUACAAAGUUGAUUUCAUGUUCAAAUCUACCUAAGUUCAUCUCGGACCAAAACAGGGCAGACUGACCAAUGCUUAGAUCUAAGCAGUUUUGACCUAGCUAAACAUGUCCAAAAAUUUCGGAAAAAUUAUAAGACAUUCUCAAUACAAUGAUAAAAUACUUUGAUGAAGACAAGUUUGU